AAAAAUGACUCUCGGCAACGGAUAUCUAGGCUCUGGCAUCGAUGAAGAACGUAGCAAACUGCGAUACGUGGUGCGAAUUGCAGAAUCCCGUGAACCAUCGAGUUUUCGAACGCAAGUUGCGCCCGAAGUCGCUAGGCGGAGGGCACGUCUGCCUGGGCGUCACC
This 164-nucleotide ribosomal RNA is filed under the name Pachypodium rosulatum subsp. bemarahense. Its description in RNAcentral is "5.8S ribosomal RNA". It matches the Rfam family "5.8S ribosomal RNA". Rfam says of the family: 5.8S ribosomal RNA (5.8S rRNA) is a component of the large subunit of the eukaryotic ribosome. It is transcribed by RNA polymerase I as part of the 45S precursor that also contains 18S and 28S rRNA. Lineage: Eukaryota; Viridiplantae; Streptophyta; Magnoliopsida; Gentianales; Apocynaceae. The record is from RNAcentral.